UUGACCUCGGAUCAGGUAGGGAUACCCGCGA
This 31-nucleotide ribosomal RNA is filed under the name Rhizoplaca chrysoleuca. Its description in RNAcentral is "partial 26S ribosomal RNA". RNAcentral also lists the same sequence under 2 other names. The record is from RNAcentral. Lineage: Eukaryota; Fungi; Ascomycota; Lecanoromycetes; Lecanorales; Lecanoraceae.